This 253-nucleotide ribosomal RNA is filed under the name Bilophila wadsworthia. RNAcentral describes it as "partial 16S ribosomal RNA". It matches the Rfam family "Bacterial small subunit ribosomal RNA", at positions 524 to 776 of the family's 1533-position model. The record is from RNAcentral. Lineage: Bacteria; Pseudomonadati; Thermodesulfobacteriota; Desulfovibrionia; Desulfovibrionales; Desulfovibrionaceae. RNAcentral also lists the same sequence under 2 other names.
UACGGAGGGUGCAAGCGUUAAUCGGAAUCACUGGGCGUAAAGCGCACGUAGGCGGCUUGGUAAGUCAGGGGUGAAAUCCCACAGCCCAACUGUGGAACUGCCUUUGAUACUGCCAGGCUUGAGUACCGGAGAGGGUGGCGGAAUUCCAGGUGUAGGAGUGAAAUCCGUAGAUAUCUGGAGGAACACCGGUGGCGAAGGCGGCCACCUGGACGGUAACUGACGCUGAGGUGCGAAAGCGUGGGUAGCAAACAGG